GAUGAAGAACGCAGCGAAAUGCGAUAAGUAAUGCGAAUUGCAGAAUUCCGUGAGUCAUCGAAUCUUUGAACGCACAUUGCGCCCGCCAGCACUCUGGCGGGCAUGCCUGUUCGAGCGUCAUUUCAACCAUCAAGCCCCCAGGGGCUUGUGCUGGGGCCCUGCGGCUGCCCGCAGGCCCUGAAAACCAGUGGCGGGCUCGCUAGUCACACCGAGCGCAGUAGCACAUCUCGCUCAGGGCGUGCGGCGGGCUCCUGCCGUGAAACCCCCCACUGUAACCCCAAAGGUUGACCUCGGAUCAGGUAGGAAUACCCGCUGAACUUAAGCAUAUCAAUAAGCGGAGGA
Molecule: unclassified non-coding RNA, 342 nt
Filed under: soil metagenome
Description: partial contains 5.8S ribosomal RNA, internal transcribed spacer 2, and large subunit ribosomal RNA
Rfam family: 5.8S ribosomal RNA (bases 1-120)
Source: RNAcentral